Molecule: long non-coding RNA, 1794 nt
Filed under: Citrus x clementina
Lineage: Eukaryota; Viridiplantae; Streptophyta; Magnoliopsida; Sapindales; Rutaceae
Description: Citrus clementina (C. clementina) long non-coding RNA (CCLE_LNC003867)
Source: RNAcentral
UUUUCUUUCUUUAUUAUUUAUUAUGAAAUUUCUUUAAUUUGUUGUUGAUUAUAUCAACUUAUGAUUAUUAACUCAUUUUAAGUUUACAACAAUUAAAAAAAUAAGUGAAAGCUCAAGCCCAACCUAAAGCCUAGCGCAGGUCCACAAUGGGCCCUUAUACUUUCCCUCUAAUAGGCUUGGGUCUAGGCUUGAAAAAGCCGUGUCAAGCCCCCAUUUUGCCAUCCUUAGUCAAGCGAGAGUGCGAAGUUAUUUCUUAUUGUUUUGGCUACCUGACUCUGGAAUAUAAACUAUAGCUUUGAUAUGCAGCUGCUAGAAAAGGUUUGAAAUUUGUUGGAUACACUUUACAUAAGUACUAGGUCAAGAUAAUGAACUGUUUCUUCUUGUUUAAUUAAUUCUUAGAGUUGACCUUUGAGACUAAUGAUAGAUGCGUAUUAAGCAUUCAAUUAAUGGAGAUCCAAAAAUAUACUUUUUGAUUCUCGAAUACGGAAGUAGAUCGCAACGAUAUUAUAUUAUUGUCAAUUUUAUUAGAGACAGAGGAUAUAAUAACAAGGAAAAUCCUCAUGCUACUGUAUGCUUACGAUCGAAUGAUAAUAAGAGAAUAGAAAAUUCUCUCAUAUCACAUUGUAAGAGCCCACUAAUAUGUUCGACGUAUUUUUUAUAAGCUCACGAGAGAGUGAUAAAAGUCAAUCAAAAGAUUUAUAACGCUUAGAGUCCAAUUAGACUUACAUCAAUCAUUUGGAACUCCAUCUAGAAGUAGCUUCUACAUUGUUCUUUAUGUUGGGCACCCCAUUAUGGACACCAAUUCCUACGUAAACAGACAAUUCAACAUAUUAAAGGGAGUUGAAGUAGUCUAUUAUUCUCCUAUAUGAGGUGAUUUCAAAGUCAUUGAAAAAUGAAUUUGUAAACAUUUACCUAGUAGGUGCUAGGUAGUUUGUCGAUGACGAUUAAUUAUCCAAUCUAUCAACUCUGGGAGAACAUUUAUGACUUGUUAAAUAAGAUUUCUCAGUUAGUCCUAUUGUUAAAGUCAAGUGAUAAAUCAAUAAACUGCAGAAUCUACUCAAUUUUUAAACUGAUUUUUGGUACAAAAUAUUUUACCGGAGUCAUCUAUUCUAUUUCUCUAGAGUUGACAUUCGUAAAUAAAAACACGAUAAGACUUUUUUUAAUUUAUUUUUAUUAAGACAUGCAAACUAAUGAGACUCGAACCCAAGUCUUGAGUCUUAGCAAUACCGUUUCGUACUCUAAAACUAGACCUUGGCCUCAAUAACAUGAAAGAUUAAACGAACUUGACUUCAAACGGCCUAAUCUUUGCACUGAAACACAGUUUACAACCAGGUCUGGAAUCUUCAAUGAGGUUUCAAUACCUGUAAUUUCAAGGUCGUGGAAAUUUGAAUCUGAUUGCAGCUGGUAGCUUAUUGAGAUUUGAUCAUUGGGCUUAUCCAAUUCAUGACGAUCGAUUAAUUAUCCAAUUCCUUAAUUGGAUCUUCAGGAACUAAUGAGCAACGUAACUCAUCGUAUUUGUCUUUGGGAUGGUGCCGACUCAUUCCUAGAGCCAAAGGUUAUUGGUUGGCUAGCAGCCAUUAGCCAUCUCCGAUAACUGAAAGCUUCAGUAAAUAAUAUUUAAUUUCAUUCAUUCCAUGCCCUGGUGCACCAAGUUUUCAUUAAAAGAGAACGAUUAAGAGACCCGGUGCUUUUUAGAGCAUAACAAGAGAUUUCUAAUUUUACUCUGUAAAUGCCUAUUUCUUUACUUAUAUGGUAAGCUAAAGAGUGAAAAAAUAUUUUUUUUUUUCAAAAAAU